RNAcentral lists this ribosomal RNA (561 nucleotides) under uncultured Glomus. Its description in RNAcentral is "SSU rRNA". It matches the Rfam family "Eukaryotic small subunit ribosomal RNA", at positions 548 to 1103 of the family's 1831-position model. The record is from RNAcentral. Lineage: Eukaryota; Fungi; Glomeromycota; Glomeromycetes; Glomerales; Glomeraceae.
UUGGAGGGCAAGUCUGGUGCCAGCAGCCGCGGUAAUUCCAGCUCCAAUAGCGUAUAUUAAAGUUGUUGCAGUUAAAAAGCUCGUAGUUGAAUUUCGGGAUUGACGCGACGGUCGUGCCUUAAGGGGUAUGAACUGUCGCUGUUGAUUUCUCACCUUCUGGAGAAUCUCGAUGCCCUUUAUUGGGUGUCUUGUGGAUCCAGGACCUUUACCUUGAAAAAAUUAGAGUGUUUAAAGCAGGCAUUUUUGCUCGAAUACAUUAGCAUGGAAUAAUAGAAUAGGACGGCUUGGUUCUAUUUUGUUGGUUUCUAGGAUCACCGUAAUGAUUAAUAGGGAUAGUUGGGGGCAUUAGUAUUCAAUUGUCAGAGGUGAAAUUCUUGGAUUUAUUGAAGACUAACUACUGCGAAAGCAUUUGCCAAGGAUGUUUUCAUUAAUCAAGAACGAAAGUUAGGGGAUCGAAGACGAUCAGAUACCGUCGUAGUCUUAACCAUAAACUAUGCCGACUAGGAAUCAGACGAUGUUAAUUUUUUAAUGACUCGUUUGGCACCUUAUGGGAAACCAAAG